This 66-nucleotide transfer RNA is filed under the name Ailuropoda melanoleuca (giant panda). It matches the Rfam family "tRNA". Rfam says of the family: Transfer RNA (tRNA) molecules are approximately 80 nucleotides in length. Their secondary structure includes four short double-helical elements and three loops (D, anti-codon, and T loops). Further hydrogen bonds mediate the characteristic L-shaped molecular structure. tRNAs have two regions of fundamental functional importance: the anti-codon, which is responsible for specific mRNA codon recognition, and the 3' end, to which the tRNAs corresponding amino acid is attached (by aminoacyl-tRNA synthetases). tRNAs cope with the degeneracy of the genetic code in two manners: having more than one tRNA (with a specific anti-codon) for a particular amino acid; and 'wobble' base-pairing, i.e. permitting non-standard base-pairing at the 3rd anti-codon position. The record is from Rfam by way of RNAcentral. Lineage: Eukaryota; Metazoa; Chordata; Mammalia; Carnivora; Ursidae.
GCCAGCUCAGGGUAGAGCGUGUGACUCUUGAUCUCAGGGUUGUGAGUUCAAGCCCCACUUUGGGCA